This 450-nucleotide ribosomal RNA is filed under the name Austruca lactea. RNAcentral describes it as "partial 12S small subunit ribosomal RNA". The record is from RNAcentral. Lineage: Eukaryota; Metazoa; Arthropoda; Malacostraca; Decapoda; Ocypodidae.
AAAGGUGAAAUUAAAUUGUUGUUUUGUAACAAAAAUUUGUAGUCGAAGCUGAAAAAAUUAAAGUAAAAACUAGGAUUAGAUACCCUAUUAUUAAAAUUAUAAAAUAUAUAUAACCCGGUUAGUAAUAGUUAUUUACUUAAAAACUAAAAAAUUUGGCGGUAAUUUAAUCUUCUCAGAGGAAUUUGUUUCUUAAUCGAUAAACCACGAAGUAUCUUGCUUAAGUUUGUAUACCAUCAUUAUCAGGUAAUUUUAAAAGAAAGAAUUGCUUAAAUUAAUGUUUAUUAAAAAAAUUAGAUCAUGGUGCAGCUUAUGAAUAAGUUGAAAUGGAUUACAAUAAAUUAUUUUAUUUACGGAUUUAUAAUAAUGAAGGAGGAUUUGGUUGUAUUACAAGUUUAAUAAGCUUGUAAGAUAUAUAGGCUCUAAAUUAUGUACAUAUCGCCCGUCGCUUUC